RNAcentral lists this ribosomal RNA (1311 nucleotides) under Callosobruchus maculatus (cowpea weevil). Its description in RNAcentral is "16S ribosomal RNA". The stretch from base 1059 to 1218 matches the Rfam family "Archaeal large subunit ribosomal RNA", at positions 2542 to 2701 of the family's 2987-position model. Lineage: Eukaryota; Metazoa; Arthropoda; Insecta; Coleoptera; Chrysomelidae. The record is from RNAcentral.
AAUUAUUAUUUUAUUAUUAUUUAUUAUAUUGAAUUUUUAUUAAAAUAAAUAAAUUGAAAGAUUUUAUUAUUGAAAUAGAAAAAAUUUUUUUAAUUAUAGUGUAAUUGUAUUGUGAGAGGUUAUUAUUUUUUGUUUUGAAGAAGAAUUAAUUUUUUGUACCUUUUGUAUCAGGGUUUAUUAAAAAUUAUAAUUUAUUUUUAUGAUCUCGAAUUUAAAAGAGUUAAAAAUUUAUUGAUUUUAUUAUUGAAUAAAUAUUUUUAAUAAGUUUUUAGUAGUGAAAUGUUAUUCGUUUUUAAAUAUAUCUAGUUUUUUAAGAGUAAAAUUUAAUUUUAAAUAUUUCUAAUUAAUUAAAUUAUUUUAUUAGUUUAUUAUUAGAUUUAUUUUAUUUUUUUAGGGAUAAGCUUGGAAAAAUUAGUUUAUUAGAUUAUUAAAUAUUAUAUAAAAUUAUAGGAUUAGAAGUUUCUAUUAUUAAUAAAAUGUUAUAAUUUAUUUAUAUAAAAAUAUUAUUUUUUAGUUUAUAAAUUUUUUAUUAAAAUAUUUAUUUAAAUUUUAAUUUAUUAAGAAAUAAUGAUAAAAUUAGUAUAAAAUUAAUAAUGUUUAAUUGAUUAUAAAUUUGAGUUUAGUUAAAGGAAUUCGGCAAAUUAUAUUUUUCACCUGUUUAUUAAAAACAUGUCUUAUUGAUUUUAUUUUUAGGUUUAGCCUGCCCACUGAAUUAUUAUUGAAUGGCCGCGGUAUUUUGACCGUGCUAAGGUAGCAUAAUCAUUAGUUUCUUAAUUAGAAGCUGGAAUGAAAGGUUGGAUGAGGGAAUUACUGUCUCUAAUUAAAUUUUUUUGAAUUUUAUUUUUUAGUGAAAAAGCUAAAAUUUUUUUGAAAGACGAGAAGACCCUUUAGAGUUUUAUAAAAUUUAGAUUUUUAUUAUUUAUUGGAAUAUAAAAUUUUAAGUUUAAAUUUUAUUUGAUUGGGGUGAUUGAAAAAUUAAAUUAACUUUUUUUGUUGAAAACAUUAAUGCAUGAUUUUUUGAUCCAAUAUUUUUGAUUAAAAGAUAAAAUUACCUUAGGGAUAACAGCGUAAUUUUUUUAGAGAGCUCUUAUCGAAAAAAAAGAUUGCGACCUCGAUGUUGGAUUAAAAUAAAUAAUUGGUGUAGAAGCUAGUUAAAUUAGGUCUGUUCGACCUUUAAAAUUUUACAUGAUCUGAGUUUAAACCGGUGUGAGCCAGGUUGGUUUCUAUCUUUAAAUUGGUUUUAAUAUUUUAGUACGAAAGGAUUGAUUAUUAAAAAAAUUUUUUUAUAGUUUGAAUUAAAUUAAAAUUAGA